UGACUGAUGCUGUCUCCUCUCCUCAGGUAUCCAUAGUGACUGAUGCUGUCUCCUCUCCUCAGGUAUCCAUAGUGACUGAUGCCGUCUCCUCUCCGCAGGUAUCCAUAGUGACUGAUGCUGUCUCCUCAGGUAUCCAUAGUGACUGAUGCUGUCUCCUCAGGUAUUCGUAGUGACUGAUGCUGUCUCCUCAGGUAUCCAUAGUGACUGAUGCUGUCUCCUCUCCUCAGGUAUCCAUAGUGACUGAUGCUGUCUCCUCUCCUCAGGUAUCCAUAGUGACUGAUGCUGUCUCCUCUUCUCAGGUAUCCGUAGUGACUGAUGCUGUCUCCUCUCCUCAGGUAUCCAUAGUGACUGAUGCUGUCUCCUCUCCUCAGGUAUCCAUAGUGACUGAUGCUGUCUCCUCAGGUAUCCAUAGUGACUGAUGCUGUCUCCUCUCCUCAGGUAUCCAUAGUGACUGAUGCCGUCUCCUCUCCGCAGGUAUCCAUAGUGACUGAUGCUGUCUCCUCAGGUAUCCGUAGUGACUGAUGCUGUCUCCUCAGGUAUCCAUAGUGACUGAUGCUGUCUCCUCUCCUCAGGUAUCCAUAGUGACUGAUGCUGUCUCCUCUCCUCAGGUAUCCAUAGUGACUGAUGCUCUCUCCUCUCCUCAGGUAUCCAUAGUGACUGAUGCUGUCUCCUCAGGUAUCCGUAGUGACUGAUGCUGUCUCCUCAGGUAUCCAUAGUGACUGAUGCUGUCUCCUCUCCGCAGGUAUCCAUAGUGACUGAUGCUGUCUCCUCAGGUAUCCGUAGUGACUGAUGCUGUCUCCUCAGGUAUCCAUAGUGACUGAUGCUGUCUUCUCUCCUCAGGUAUCCAUAGUGACUGAUGCUGUCUCCUCUCCUCAGGUAUCCAUAGUGACUGAUGCUGUCUCCUCUCCUCAGGUAUCCAUAGUGACUGAUGCCGUCUCCUCUCCGCAGGUAUCCAUAGUGACUGAUGCUGUCUCCUCAGGUAUCCAUAGUGACUGAUGCUGUCUCCUCUCCUCAGGUAUCCAUAGUGACUGAUGCUGUCUCCUCUCCUCAGGUAUCCAUAGUGACUGAUGCUGUCUCCUCUCCUCAGGUAUCCAUAGUGACUGAUGCUGUCUCCUC
Oncorhynchus mykiss (rainbow trout) is the source of this 1116-nucleotide non-coding RNA. NCBI's taxonomy places the organism in Eukaryota, Metazoa, Chordata, Actinopteri, Salmoniformes, Salmonidae. The record is from RefSeq and is a predicted model, not a curated record.